Non-coding RNA from Ictidomys tridecemlineatus (thirteen-lined ground squirrel), 72 nucleotides. The record is from Rfam. NCBI's taxonomy places the organism in Eukaryota, Metazoa, Chordata, Mammalia, Rodentia, Sciuridae.
AGGGUUGUGGCUCAGUGGUAGAGCGCUUGCCUAGCAUGUGUGAAACACUGGGUUCGAUCCCCAGCAACACAU